Long non-coding RNA from Triticum dicoccoides, 3702 nucleotides. RefSeq lists it as uncharacterized. The transcript is spliced from 8 exons. Lineage: Eukaryota; Viridiplantae; Streptophyta; Magnoliopsida; Poales; Poaceae. The record is from RefSeq and is a predicted model, not a curated record.
AACCGCAAUUCCCACAGCCGCAUGCCCACAUCCCUCCCUCCUCCCUCGUCUCAGCCGCCGCCCCACGAACCCUAGCCGCGCCCUACUACAUCUGUCCUCCUUCCCCCCUCCCUGGUCCGCCCCAAGCCCCUCCUCCUCCGCCCUCACAUGCUCCACCCUGAGCACACCGGCAGCGAAGUGCACCGCGAGGCCCCGAAGCAACUCAGCCAAAGCCCCUCCGUACAGGAGGAACCCCGCGGCCAGCGCAGCCAACAACGACACGUACAAGAGGUCGGCCUUGAUGGGUUGCGCGCCGUACGCGAGGGUCAUGUCCACACUGGAGGGCAGCAACGUGCACAUGGCGCGGUACGUGGAGGUGCGCAGGGAGAAGGUGCACGGCUCCGCCUAGCACCAUGUGUGCGGCAGCGGGGACAGGCGGCCACGGGCAGAUUUUGGGGAGCGGCACGAGCAUCUAGCAAUGGCUGAUGCCAAGGCAUGCCAAGAUCAAGGAUAUUUAUACUUGUUUCUUCUAUCGAUGAAAGAUUUCAGAUACUUUUGUAGAUGAAUUUCUGGGCUAAGAUAAAUAUGUUGCUCCACAAAAUUAUCUCCUUAGUUGCAUUCCAUUUAUAGUUCAUGUUCAUGGCCUUGCUGUGGUUGCAUCAUGGUCCGUGGGGAAUAGAAACAAAUACCUUUGCUACAACCGAGGUCUUGACAGACCAGUCAGGGAGAUAUAGGUUCGGAACAAUUUUUUUUCAUAAUUUUGCAGGGGUUGAUAUGCUCUAUCCCUUGAGGUGGCUUGGUUAUAAUUUUUGCCCCCCAAAGGGCAGAUCUGACCAGUUUCUUGCUAGAAUAUUAUCAUAAGGAAGAAAUGAAGUUGAGGGGAGGCUAUUGCAUGCUGGAAAAUCAGUUGGUGUUGUCUAUGUUGGUUUCAGGAAGAAAAGGACCGGCAAAUUGAUGGCUCAGGCAUGUCAUACAAAGUACCUUGUUGUAUCUAGCAGAUUGCGAGGAUUCCCUUCUGUUGUAAGAUGAAAACCUGGUUAUAUGUUGCAUCUCAAAAUCAAGAUGUUCAUUCGAGAAGAGAAAGGAGUUGUCGGUGUGUCGUGGUGCGCGACCUUGUCCCGGAGUAUGCAUUUUAUAUAAAGUAAUGUGUAUCAAUGCUUUCUCAUACAUAUGAUUCUGAAGUAAUAGAGAGCAGGAAGUGGCAGGCUUAAUUUCAAUUAGAUAAAUAGGUGUACUGCAGCAUCAUAUAUUUAGGUAAUCCCUUUUAUUUUUCUUGCCAGGUUCAUGCUAUAUACAUUGUGUAUAUGCACAUAAAGUACACCCACAUAAACUGUAGUUUGUAGUAUCAGCAGCAAACAGAGGUGCAGCUAAGUAGUAGCAUGUCCCUAUUAUAAAUGGGUAGAAAAACAAGAGCUUAUCAAAAGAACAGUAUCUCCGUUACAUGAUAAGGAUGAAUGUUUGAUGUUAUGCAUAUGUGUAAAAGCACUCCACUAUCAUGCAAAUAGUAUCAUGUUCAGAGCCUUAAUAAUGGCAGUUGUAAACCCAAAAUAAUCCAUCUUAUAAUUUAGGAUAUAGUAUAGAUUCCGGUGAGAACCACUCCAAUAAGAAUGCUAGCUGCUACUAUAUAUCUAAUUGGUCCCAGAUUGAAAAUCUUAGCUGUUAAUCUCUGAAUGCAGUAUGCACUUGUGCUGAAACAUAGAGCAUGUGUGGUGUUGCUCUGUACAUGAAUGAAAAAUCUCAGUUAUUAAUCUGUAAAUGAAGAAUGAUCAUGGUUCCCCACCUCUACUACUCAUAGUAAUGCCACCCUUUGCUAAUUUAUCUUUGGUUGUUCAAUGCAUGAUAACAUUUUUUGAAUUUGCAACAUAUGAUACCUUCAUCUUCUGAGUAGGAAGUCACUGGGCAAAAUUUUGCUGAUCAGAUGUAUGUAUAGUAUAAUAAUAGCAUAAUAAUAGCAGGUGAUAUACUAUAAUUGCCAUAUUAUUGAGCUUGAUAUCAUGUUUGAACUAGACAAAUAAUUUUGACAGGAUUUUAUCCUGGCAUAAACAUGCUGACAUAGUGUCAACAUAAUAACAGAAAAACCUUUUCGAAAUUCAACAUUAUAGAAUAUAAAGCAAGACAAAGUUAUCUCCUUGAAAUUUCUUUGACAACAUUCUAGAACAUGUGCCGGAUUCUAUUCGUUGAACCAAUAUUCUUCCGAUAUUUUGCAAGCCUAGAUAGUUUGAUAUCCCUAAAUGAUAAAUUCAGUUAAGGAAGCAACCAACUUAGCUAACGUAUUGUCGGUUCUUUGACUAAAUUACUUUUGUGAGUAACAGUAUUUUAUUAGAAAUUGUUUCACUACCUGUUGUUCUUUAUAUUAGAUUUCGAAAAAAGCCAAGGCAGUAAGUCAACUAUUAGGUUGACUGAUUAUCAUAUUUCUUCUUGCACUUAAACUGCUUGACAGGUUGAUCCAGAUGAAGUAAAUGCACUUGCUCAACUGGUGACAUAGAAGACUGCCCAUUACAGCGGUACCAUAUGGUGGAGUGAAGGGAGGAACAGGGUACUCGUCUGGUGAUUUAAGUAGGAGUGAGUUGGAGCAUCUAAUGCGUGUAUUUACUCAGAAAAAUUGUGAUCUUACCGGAACUCAUACCUAUAUUCUAGCUCCAGCCAUGGGAACUAAUUCACAGUUAUGUUAUGCAAUUUCGGUGUCUUUUCUACCGUUUACUACCUUCCUAUGCUCUGCAACUAACUCUAUCUAAAACCAGGGCUGCUUUUUAUAGGUAUGUUUAUGCCCCUUAUGCCAUUAUUUUAAAUGUUUCUUUACUGUAUUGCUUAUGAAUAGAUACAAAGUUUUUUUAUGUACUGUACUAUCCAGUGCGGAUAAAAACAACUUUGAUCCUCCCUUUGGUGUCUCCAUGGAUGCAUAUAUGUAUUUAUUGUUCAUAUCACAGAAUAAGGAUAAAUGUUUCGUUGGCAAAAUAUGAUCCUUCUAGAUAUCUUGUUGUACAAAUAAUCUCUCUUUAUGUAUCAUUGUUACUUUUGUUUCUGCUUGGUGUAUUUAACCUUACUUUUCAUGGUCAUUGCCUCAUGGUUCUGCUUCUACUGCAGGUUGUAGUACGUCAGUGAUGAUGAAAAGAUACUCGCUGUGUGUAUCAACUGUUUGACAAAGCUUAUGAUCCAUCUGUAGAUAAGUCAUUACCGUUCCUGUUCAAGAGAUAUAUGGAUGGCAAUGAUCAUAUAACAAAAUAUGGCGGGACCAGGCUUGACCUUGCAGUCUGCAAACAGUUGGUGGACUUGAUGGGUGGUACUCUCACUGCUUAGCAAAGAGAAAUGAUUGAAUAAAGGCUCAACAUUUAUAGUCAUGCUGCCCUGCACAAUUCCUGCAAGAGAUGUCGAGUGAUGAUCUUGGUAACGGGCAAAACUCCUGUAACAAAACUUUUUGCGAGUACUACAUUGGUUUGACUGCUGAAAUACCACGCUUCGGAAAAAAAGGCAAAAAUGUUUUACGUCUGAGGCAUGGGAAGUAUAGACUAAAGAAUGUGGUUUAAAGUUUCCCUAUUUUGUUAGAUUAGCUAAGGUGUUGAUUUGUUGAUUCAUGUCAGCGAUGUAUGUAAUCAAGAAUCAAGAAAGCAUACCAGUAUAUUGCAAUUCCUAAACUUACAAAAAUGAGAAGGAUGCAAGGAUGCCCAAACCUAUAGAUUUGUAAUUGACAUUUAGCACUACAUGUUGCCACUGAGUAAUUUUUCA